RNAcentral lists this microRNA precursor (98 nucleotides) under Gossypium raimondii (Peruvian cotton). RNAcentral's name for it is "miR482c stem-loop (gra-MIR482c)". Its record names the gene gra-MIR482c. Lineage: Eukaryota; Viridiplantae; Streptophyta; Magnoliopsida; Malvales; Malvaceae. The record is from miRBase by way of RNAcentral.
UCUGGAAAUUAUAGGAAUCGCGUUUUUGGGAAGAAGCACGAUCGAUCUGCAUCCGCCACUAAUUUCUUCCCAAAACCUCCAAUUCCAAUGAUUUCCAG